Salarias fasciatus (jewelled blenny) is the source of this 1035-nucleotide long non-coding RNA. RefSeq lists it as uncharacterized. The record is from RefSeq and is a predicted model, not a curated record. Lineage: Eukaryota; Metazoa; Chordata; Actinopteri; Blenniiformes; Blenniidae. The transcript has 2 exons.
CCUUUAGCUUCUUACUGAUACCAAGUACUGUUACUAGUGCUAACCUUUAGCUUCUUACUGAUACUGAGUACUGAUGCUAGUGCUAACCUUUAGCUUCUUACUGAUACUGAGUACUGAUACUAGUGCUAACCUUUAGCUUCUUACUGAUACUGAGUACUGAUGCUAGUGCUAACCUUUAGCUUCUUACUGAUACUGAGUACUGAUACUAGUGCUAACCUUUAGCUUCUUACUGAUACCAAUGCUAACCUUUAGCUUCUUACUGAUACCAAGUACUGUUACUAGUGCUAACCUUUAGCUUCUUACUGAUACCGAGUACUGAUGCUAGUGCUAACCUUUAGCUUCUUACUGAUACUGAGUACUGAUGCUAGUGCUAACCUUUAGCUUCUUACUGAUACUGAGUACUGAUACUAGUGCUAACCUUUAGCUUCUUACUGAUACCAAGUACUGUUACUAGUGCUAACCUUUAGCUUCUUACUGAUACUGAGUACUGAUACUAGUGCUAACCUUUAGCUUCUUACUGAUACCAAGUACUGUUACUAGUGCUAACCUUUAGCUUCUUACUGAUACCGAGUACUGAUGCUAGUGCUAACCUUUAGCUUCUUACUGAUACUGAGUACUGAUGCUAGUGCUAACCUUUAGCUUCUUACUGAUACUGAGUACUGAUGCUAGUGCUAACCUUUAGCUUCUUACUGAUACCGAGUACUGAUGCUAGUGCUAACCUUUAGCUUCUUACUGAUACUGAAUACUGGUACUAGUGUUAACCUUUAGCUUCUUACUGAUACUGAGUACUGAUGCUAGUGCUAACCUUUAGCUUCUUACUGAUACCGAGUACUGAUGCUAGUGCUAACCUUUAGCUUCUUACUGAUACCGAGUACUGAUGCUAGUGCUAACCUUUAGCUUCUUACUGAUACUGAAUACUGGUACUAGUGUUAACCUUUAGCUUCUUACUGAUACUGAGUACUGAUGCUAGUGCUAACCUUUAGCUUCUUACUGAUACCGAGUACUGAUGCUAGUGCUAACCUUUAGCUUCUUACU